AGCCGGCCAUCUGAGGCGUUUACUGGAGACGGUCCCCGGGCGCUGAGGCUAUGAGCCCCCGGGAGGUGCUGGGCCAGGCGGCUCGGCUGGCCUCCUCUGGUCUCCUCCUGCAGGUGUUGUUUCGAUUGAUCACCUUUGUCUUAAAUGCAUUUAUUCUUCGCUUCCUGUCAAAGGAAAUCGUUGGCAUAGUGAAUGUCAGGCUAACACUGCUUUACUCUACCACCAUCUUCCUGGCCAGAGAGGCCUUCCGCAGAGCAUGUCUGAGUGGCAGCACCCAGCGGGACUGGAGCCAGACCCUCAACCUCCUGUGGCUAACAGUCCCUUUGGGUGUGUUUUGGUCCGUGUUCCUGGGGUGGGCCUGGCUACAAUUGCUCGCAGUGCCCGAUCCUGACGUCAUCCCCCACUAUGGAACUGGAGUGGUGUUGUUUGGGUUCUCGGCAGUGGUGGAACUUCUGGGAGAGCCCUUCUGGGUCUUGGCACAAGCACAUAUGUUUGUCAAGCUUAAGGUGAUUGCUGAGAGCCUGUCAGUAAUCCUCAAGAGCGUCCUGACAGCUUUUCUCGUGGUGUGUUUGCCUCACUGGGGACUGUAUAUUUUCUCUUUGGCCCAGCUUUUCUAUACUGCAGUUCUGGUGCUCUGCUAUGUUAUUUAUUUCACAAAGUUACUGGGCUCCCCAGAAUCAGCCAAGCAACAAGUUCUUCCUGUCUCCAGAAUGACAGAUCUGUUACCCACUAUUACGAGAAGUAGAGCUUUUGUAAAUUGGGAAGAGGCUAAAUUGACUUGGAGUUUCUUCAAACAGUCUUUCUUGAAACAGAUUUUGACAGAAGGCGAGCGAUAUGUGAUGACAUUUUUGAACGUGUUAAAUUUUGGGGAUCAGGGCGUGUAUGAUAUAGUGAAUAAUCUUGGCUCCCUUGUGGCCAGAUUAAUUUUCCAGCCAAUAGAAGAGAGUUUUUAUAUAUUCUUUGCUAAGGUGCUGGAGAGAGAAAAGGAUGCUACACUUCAGAAGCAGGAGGAUGUUGCUGUGGCCGCCGCGGUUUUGGAGUCCCUGCUAAAGCUGGCCCUGCUCACUGGCCUGACCAUCUCUGUUUUCGGCUUUGCCUAUUCUCAACUGGCUUUGGACAUCUAUGGAGGGGCCAUGCUUAGCUCAGGAUCAGGUCCUGUCCUGCUGCGUGCCUAUUGUCUUUACGUCCUCCUGCUUGCCAUCAAUGGAGUGACCGAAUGUUUCACAUUUGCUGCCAUGAGCAAAGAGGAGGUUGACAGGUACAAUUUCACAAUGCUGGGCCUCUCAUCUUCGUUCCUGCUGUUAUCCUAUCUCCUGACCCAUUGGUGUGGCAGCGUGGGCUUCAUCUUGGCCAAUUGCUUCAACAUGGGCAUUCGGAUCACACAGAGCCUUUGCUUCAUCCACCGCUACUACCGGAAGAGUCCCCACAAGCCCCUGGCUGGCCUGUUCCUGUCACCAGUCCUCCUCGGGGCAUUUGCCCUCAGUGGUGGCAUUACUGCUGUUUCCGAGGUGUUCCUCUGCUGUGAGCGGGGCUGGCCAGCCAUGCUGGUGCACGUCGCUGUGGGGGCCCUCUGUUUGGGAGUGACUCUUGGGACAGCAUUCCUCACAGAGACCAAGCUGAUCCACUUUCUUAGGACUCAGUUGGGUGUGUCCAGACUCACUGACAAAACGACGUGACCUCGCGGAAGCCCUGUGGCACCUGGACCAGCUGUGGGGCAGUUUUAUGGUGGAACAUGUUUUUUAUGCAGAAGAGCCAAGUUAGGGGUCUGUAGUGGAGUGAGACCAACACACAGAAUGAAAUAGGGUAAAUUCUAUAUGGCAUGUGUCACUGAAUCACACCCUUCUCCCGCUGACCUGUUACUUCCAGCACUGGUCAGUACACCGGAAUUCCAGCCCCAGGACAAGACUGGCAGGCCUGCAGAUCUGGUCCUUCAGGCUACAGUGUGAGCCCAGGCUAAGGCUUGCCUCCCUGCCCUGCACCCAGCAGGUGCUGUUCUCAGGCAGCAAAGCAUUCUUCUUCUUUCAUUAAUGUGUUACUAUAUUAACUGAUGUAAUGUAUUAAUUAAUUAGAUGUGAUUGACCUUCGGAGCUACAUGCACAGACUAUAUCUUGGGUGGUAAUAGCUAGUAAUCAUCUAGCCCCGACGUCCCCAAACUUUCUAUGUUUACACCCAGAGAGCAGGAUAGCUUGUAUCAGAUGGCAGUUUGGCUGAAAUGCACACAUUUAAAUCCACUGGCCUAGAGCCAAAGCCAAGAGGCCAAGGAUAAAGACCCACCCAGUGCACCAAGACUAGGACCCAGUCACCUGGACACCUUUCUAUCUAUUCAAGGAGAGAAUGCUUCGUAUUAAUUGCAGGGAAAGUAGCUAAAUGCAAGGUGUCACUGAACAAUCAGAGGCCCUCCAGAAUCAUGGGCUUGGUCA
Molecule: RNA transcript, 2420 nt
Organism: Lagenorhynchus albirostris (white-beaked dolphin)
Lineage: Eukaryota; Metazoa; Chordata; Mammalia; Artiodactyla; Delphinidae
Gene: RFT1
Gene name: RFT1 homolog
Exons: 14
Source: RefSeq, a predicted model, not a curated record